ACGCUCGACACCUACUGGAGGCAGCAGUGAGGAAUAUUGGUCAAUGGGCGCAGGCCUGAACCAGCCAAGUAGCGUGAAGGAUGACUGCCCUAUGGGUUGUAAACUUCUUUUAUAUGGGAAUAAAGUUUUCUACGUGUGGAAUUUUGUAUGUACCAUAUGAAUAAGGAUCGGCUAACUCCGUGCCAACAGCCGCGGUAAUCUGAGCGGGCUGGCAAGGC
RNAcentral lists this ribosomal RNA (218 nucleotides) under uncultured bacterium. Its description in RNAcentral is "partial 16S ribosomal RNA". It matches the Rfam family "Bacterial small subunit ribosomal RNA", at positions 328 to 539 of the family's 1533-position model. The record is from RNAcentral.